RNAcentral lists this long non-coding RNA (966 nucleotides) under Homo sapiens (human). RNAcentral's name for it is "long non-coding RNA NONHSAT186057.1". Lineage: Eukaryota; Metazoa; Chordata; Mammalia; Primates; Hominidae. The record is from RNAcentral.
CUUUGCUCUAACAGACAGCAGCGACUUUAGGCUGGAUAAUAGUCAAAUUCUUACCUCGCUCUUUCACUGCUAGUAAGAUCAGAUUGCGUUUCUUUCAGUUACUCUUCAAUCGCCAGUUUCUUGAUCUGCUUCUAAAAGAAGAAGUAGAGAAGAUAAAUCCUGUCUUCAAUACCUGGAAGGAAAAACAAAAUAACCUCAACUCCGUUUUGAAAAAAACAUUCCAAGAACUUUCAUCAGAGAUUUUACUUAGAUGAUUUACACAAUGAAGAAAGUACAUGCACUUUGGGCUUCUGUAUGCCUGCUGCUUAAUCUUGCCCCUGCCCCUCUUAAUGCUGAUUCUGAGGAAGAUGAAGAACACACAAUUAUCACAGAUACGGAGUUGCCACCACUGAAACUUAUGCAUUCAUUUUGUGCAUUCAAGGCGGAUGAUGGCCCAUGUAAAGCAAUCAUGAAAAGAUUUUUCUUCAAUAUUUUCACUCGACAGUGCGAAGAAUUUAUAUAUGGGGGAUGUGAAGGAAAUCAGAAUCGAUUUGAAAGUCUGGAAGAGUGCAAAAAAAUGUGUACAAGAGAUAAUGCAAACAGGAUUAUAAAGACAACAUUGCAACAAGAAAAGCCAGAUUUCUGCUUUUUGGAAGAAGAUCCUGGAAUAUGUCGAGGUUAUAUUACCAGCGAAUGGUUUCCAGGUGGAUAAUUAUGGAACCCAGCUCAAUGCUGUGAAUAACUCCCUGACUCCGCAAUCAACCAAGGUUCCCAGCCUUUUUGUUACAAAAGAAGGAACAAAUGAUGGUUGGAAGAAUGCGGCUCAUAUUUACCAAGUCUUUCUGAACGCCUUCUGCAUUCAUGCAUCCAUGUUCUUUCUAGGAUUGGAUAGCAUUUCAUGCCUAUGUUAAUAUUUGUGCUUUUGGCAUUUCCUUAAUAUUUAUAUGUAUACGUGAUGCCUUUGAUAGCAUACUGCUAAUAAAGUUU